Motacilla alba alba is the source of this 482-nucleotide long non-coding RNA. RefSeq lists it as uncharacterized. Lineage: Eukaryota; Metazoa; Chordata; Aves; Passeriformes; Motacillidae. The transcript has 3 exons. The record is from RefSeq and is a predicted model, not a curated record.
CCAGUGCCCCUGGGGACCCCAUCCCAGGCCCGUCAGUGCCUCUGGGACCCCUAUCCAAGCUCCCCCCGUUCCUGUGGAUGCCCUUCUGCAUCAGGAGCCCCCCAAUCCCACCAGAGCCCCCAAAGUGGAGGUCUCACCUGUGGCCACGCCCCUUGAUCAAGCCACGCCCCUUUCAUACCUAAGCCGCGCCCCCCGUCGCCCCUGGCGGGUCCUCCAAGAUACCAGCUCCGCUAGGGGGCGCCUGUAGCAGCGGCAGCCGCUCCGCUCCGCGCCUUGUCGCUCCGUGGCGUCACUUCCGGGGGCGCGGAGGCGAGGCCGCGCCCGGCCGGCAGCACCAUGUCCUCCGAGUCCAGCAAGAAGAGGAAGCCCAAGGUGAUCCGCACGGACGGGGUCCCAGCCGAGGGCAAGCGGGGCAAGGGCGACUCGGACCAGGAGACACAAACACUCCUCUGGAGAGUGAGCACAAAGCUGGAAGAUCCCUC